GGCUCGGUAGCUUAGUUGGUAAAGCGUUCUUUUAGCAUACAAGAGUCCUGGGUUCAAAUCCCAGCCGAGCAC
This 72-nucleotide transfer RNA is filed under the name Aedes aegypti (yellow fever mosquito). It matches the Rfam family "tRNA". From Rfam's summary of the family: Transfer RNA (tRNA) molecules are approximately 80 nucleotides in length. Their secondary structure includes four short double-helical elements and three loops (D, anti-codon, and T loops). Further hydrogen bonds mediate the characteristic L-shaped molecular structure. tRNAs have two regions of fundamental functional importance: the anti-codon, which is responsible for specific mRNA codon recognition, and the 3' end, to which the tRNAs corresponding amino acid is attached (by aminoacyl-tRNA synthetases). tRNAs cope with the degeneracy of the genetic code in two manners: having more than one tRNA (with a specific anti-codon) for a particular amino acid; and 'wobble' base-pairing, i.e. permitting non-standard base-pairing at the 3rd anti-codon position. Lineage: Eukaryota; Metazoa; Arthropoda; Insecta; Diptera; Culicidae. The record is from Rfam by way of RNAcentral.